RNAcentral lists this ribosomal RNA (430 nucleotides) under uncultured bacterium. RNAcentral's name for it is "bacterial SSU rRNA". It matches the Rfam family "Bacterial small subunit ribosomal RNA", at positions 29 to 467 of the family's 1533-position model. The record is from RNAcentral.
AAUGAACGUUGGCGGCGUGGAUUAGGCAUGCAAGUCGCGCGAGAAGUUUCCUUCGGGAGACGGACAGCGGCGGAAGGGAGAGGAAUAAGUAGAAAUCUGCCCUCGGGACGGGGAUAGCGGCGGGAAACUGCCGGUAAUACCCGAUAACAUCUUUGGAUCAAAUGGUGUGAUUCCGCCUGAGGAUGAGUCUACUUCCUAUUAGCUAGUUGGUGUGGUAAUGGCUCACCAAGGCAACGAUGGGUAGCGGGUGUGAGAGCACGAUCCGCCUCACUGGGACUGAGACACUGCCCAGACACCUACGGGUGGCUGCAGUCGAGAAUCUUCGGCAAUGGGGGAAACCCUGACCGAGCGACGCCGCGUGCGGGAUGAAGGCCCUCGGGUUGUAAACCGCUGUCGUAAGGGAACAAAUCUAAGAGGGUACUCCCUUUUA